RNAcentral lists this ribosomal RNA (977 nucleotides) under Escherichia coli. Its description in RNAcentral is "partial 23S ribosomal RNA". It matches the Rfam family "Bacterial large subunit ribosomal RNA", at positions 177 to 1194 of the family's 2925-position model. The record is from RNAcentral. Lineage: Bacteria; Pseudomonadati; Pseudomonadota; Gammaproteobacteria; Enterobacterales; Enterobacteriaceae.
AGGCGAACCGGGGGAACUGAAACAUCUAAGUACCCCGAGGAAAAGAAAUCAACCGAGAUUCCCCCAGUAGCGGCGAGCGAACGGGGAGCAGCCCAGAGCCUGAAUCAGUGUGUGUGUUAGUGGAAGCGUCUGGAAAGGCGCGCGAUACAGGGUGACAGCCCCGUACACAAAAAUGCACAUGCUGUGAGCUCGAUGAGUAGGGCGGGACACGUGGUAUCCUGUCUGAAUAUGGGGGGACCAUCCUCCAAGGCUAAAUACUCCUGACUGACCGAUAGUGAACCAGUACCGUGAGGGAAAGGCGAAAAGAACCCCGGCGAGGGGAGUGAAAAAGAACCUGAAACCGUGUACGUACAAGCAGUGGGAGCACGCUUAGGCGUGUGACUGCGUACCUUUUGUAUAAUGGGUCAGCGACUUAUAUUCUGUAGCAAGGUUAACCGAAUAGGGGAGCCGAAGGGAAACCGAGUCUUAACUGGGCGUUAAGUUGCAGGGUAUAGACCCGAAACCCGGUGAUCUAGCCAUGGGCAGGUUGAAGGUUGGGUAACACUAACUGGAGGACCGAACCGACUAAUGUUGAAAAAUUAGCGGAUGACUUGUGGCUGGGGGUGAAAGGCCAAUCAAACCGGGAGAUAGCUGGUUCUCCCCGAAAGCUAUUUAGGUAGCGCCUCGUGAAUUCAUCUCCGGGGGUAGAGCACUGUUUCGGCAAGGGGGUCAUCCCGACUUACCAACCCGAUGCAAACUGCGAAUACCGGAGAAUGUUAUCACGGGAGACACACGGCGGGUGCUAACGUCCGUCGUGAAGAGGGAAACAACCCAGACCGCCAGCUAAGGUCCCAAAGUCAUGGUUAAGUGGGAAACGAUGUGGGAAGGCCCAGACAGCCAGGAUGUUGGCUUAGAAGCAGCCAUCAUUUAAAGAAAGCGUAAUAGCUCACUGGUCGAGUCGGCCUGCGCGGAAGAUGUAACGGGGCUAAACCAUGCAC